RNAcentral lists this long non-coding RNA (660 nucleotides) under Triticum aestivum (bread wheat). RNAcentral's name for it is "long non-coding RNA (TAES_LNC019334)". The record is from RNAcentral. Lineage: Eukaryota; Viridiplantae; Streptophyta; Magnoliopsida; Poales; Poaceae.
GUGUAGAGGAAGGGAUAGCUACGAUGAAUUGGGAAGGGUCUCAUCAUAGCGAGGGAAUCAAGCUCUCGGGCUACGGGAGGUCGUCGGAGUGUGCACUCAGGACACCAGGGAUCAAGGAUACCCCGUAUUUGUGAGUUCAGCUAAGGGCUAAAACACUUUGUCAAACCACAAGAAAAAUAUCGUACACGGACAUAGGAAUUUUUACAGAGGUUCAUGCCGCCAUCUGAGCAUGAAACCCUACCUCCUGUUGGUAUCGAUAUGAACUGGACGAGUACAAGCGCUUUGGUUUUACAAGGAUGGUGAUCGGGGUGUGACCAAUGGUGGUCAGGGUAUAGAUAGAGUUCCCGAACACUCCUAUAUCUAGUCUUCUUGCCUUCCCUUGGGUAAACGUAGUACUUGGUGUUCUUGAUGGAUGUGUGCUAGUGAGUUUGUCUUGCUUGUCCCUCUACUGACCUUGGACCUCCCCUUAUAUAGGCCUGGGAGGAACAUAUUGGUCAUUAGCUCGAGGAGGUAUACAAAAUGGUAGAUGUUGCGUGCAACUUGUAGUCUGUAUAAUCAGUAGAUGACCUGACACUUCGAAGUGUUAGGUGCUCGAGUGCCCCUUCUUGACGUGACACGCCACACUACCCUUCUUUGGUCUUGUGUCGUGCCAGGGGUCUA